This 433-nucleotide ribosomal RNA is filed under the name uncultured bacterium. RNAcentral's name for it is "partial 16S ribosomal RNA". It matches the Rfam family "Bacterial small subunit ribosomal RNA", at positions 29 to 507 of the family's 1533-position model. The record is from RNAcentral.
AACGAACGCUGGCGGCAUGCCUAACACAUGCAAGUCGAACGAGACCUUCGGGUCUAGUGGCGCACGGGUGCGUAACGCGUGGGAACCUGCCCUUAGGUUCGGAAUAACUCCCUGAAAGGGGUGCCAAUACCGGAUAAUGUCUUCGGACCAAAGAUUUAUCGCCUUUGGAUGGGCCCGCGUUGGAUUAGCUAGUUGGUAGGGUAAAAGCCUACCAAGGCGACGAUCCAUAGCUGGUCUGAGAGGAUGAUCAGCCACACUGGGACUGAGACACGGCCCAGACUCCUACGGGAGGCAGCAGUGGGGAAUAUUGGACAAUGGGCGAAAGCCUGAUCCAGCAAUGCCGCGUGAGUGAUGAAGGCCUUAGGGUUGUAAAGCUCUUUUACCCGGGAUGAUAAUGACAGUACCGGGAGAAUAAGCUCCGGCUAACUCCGUG